Non-coding RNA from Drosophila virilis, 362 nucleotides. NCBI's taxonomy places the organism in Eukaryota, Metazoa, Arthropoda, Insecta, Diptera, Drosophilidae. The record is from RefSeq and is a predicted model, not a curated record.
GUAGGUUGACAAUGUUUUAUUCAUAAAAUGCUAAAAUGUCUUAUAUGCUUUAUAUAUAGAUUAAAUAAAUUUAUAUUCACGUUUAUAAAUUGGAAAAUGUUUUUAGGCUUGGCUUGUUCUUAAAUGAAUAAGAGGUGAGCUGCAGAGUAUAUUGGAGUAGAGGAGAAGCUCGAAAAAUAAUGAGAAAUUCGUUUAGAAAAAGAAAUUCAACCAACGUAUAACAUCCAACAGCAUGAGACUUUGAAACUGUUGAAGAACUACCGCAUUUACAGAACAGGACCAAGGACUCCGGUUUCCGGCAUAAAAUAAUUUAACAGCAUAUGAAUUUUAAGAUAUUCGGAAUAUAUUAUUAUUUAAAUAAA